This is a non-coding RNA of Nylanderia fulva, 321 nucleotides long. Lineage: Eukaryota; Metazoa; Arthropoda; Insecta; Hymenoptera; Formicidae. The record is from RefSeq and is a predicted model, not a curated record.
UCGAGACGGACGGACACACGACAUAUGUUUUUAUAUCUUGUUCGUGAACUUUUUGUCGUUAUUGAGUUUUGAUCUCAAACGUUAACGAGAGGGUAGAAAAAAUUGAAAAUGCGUACAUAUAAGCGAAAGACAAAUAAAGCUUCUACAACACAGGAACAACUUCAAACAGCUGCAAAUGCCAUUUUAAAAGAAGGAAAGAGUAUAAGAGCAACAGCUGAUGAGCUUUAUAUUCCAAGAAUGACUUUAUCCAGAUAUAUGGAAAAAUUUAAGUCACAUUAUAAUAAUGUAAAGAGUUAAUUUCAUUAAAAUUAUUUAAUAAUA